UGGUCCUACGGGAGGCAGCAGUGAGGAAUAUUGGUCAAUGGUCGGGAGACUGAACCAGCCAAGCCGCGUGAGGGAUGAAGGUACAGAGUAUCGUAAACCUCUUUUGUCAGGGAACAAAGGCGGGGACGUGUCCCCGGAUGAGUGUACCUGAAGAAAAAGCAUCGGCUAACUACGUGCCAGCAGCCGCGGUAAUACGUAGGGGGCAAGCGUUAUCCGGAUUUACUGGGUGUAAAGGGAGCGCAGACGGCAGCGCAAGUCCGGGGUGAAAGCCCGCGGCCCAACCGCGGGACUG
Molecule: ribosomal RNA, 292 nt
Filed under: uncultured bacterium
Lineage: Bacteria
Description: partial 16S ribosomal RNA
Rfam family: Bacterial small subunit ribosomal RNA
Source: RNAcentral